Molecule: non-coding RNA, 288 nt
Organism: Pelobates cultripes (western spadefoot toad)
Lineage: Eukaryota; Metazoa; Chordata; Amphibia; Anura; Pelobatidae
Source: the annotation of a GenBank genome assembly
GCCUUAUUGUUUGUAUUAUGCUUCAAACUGCUGACAAACCUUUUUCUAUCCAGUUUUUAAGACUACUUUUUCUCAUUUUAGCAAACUGAGCAAUUUUUUUACUUAAAACUUGUGCUUGCGAAAAAUACAAUCAGAUAAGCAUCCUGUGCUCCCCCUUCCUGCCUUCCUCCCUUUUUAUUCCCUAUCUUUCCUUUCAUAAAAGGACUCAAUUGACCCUCGAAAGAGUUCAUUGAGGGAACCAUGAAUGCCAACAUGUACUGUGAAAUACUGAAGCAAAGCAUGAUCCCC